GGCCUCAUAGUUCAAUGGAUAGAAUUUCAGAUUCCGGUUCUGAAGAUUUGGGUUCGAAUCCCGAUGAGGUCACGA
Molecule: transfer RNA, 75 nt
Filed under: Flavobacterium sp.
Lineage: Bacteria; Pseudomonadati; Bacteroidota; Flavobacteriia; Flavobacteriales; Flavobacteriaceae
Also listed under: 1 other name
Description: tRNA-Arg
Rfam family: tRNA
About the family: Transfer RNA (tRNA) molecules are approximately 80 nucleotides in length. Their secondary structure includes four short double-helical elements and three loops (D, anti-codon, and T loops). Further hydrogen bonds mediate the characteristic L-shaped molecular structure. tRNAs have two regions of fundamental functional importance: the anti-codon, which is responsible for specific mRNA codon recognition, and the 3' end, to which the tRNAs corresponding amino acid is attached (by aminoacyl-tRNA synthetases). tRNAs cope with the degeneracy of the genetic code in two manners: having more than one tRNA (with a specific anti-codon) for a particular amino acid; and 'wobble' base-pairing, i.e. permitting non-standard base-pairing at the 3rd anti-codon position.
Source: RNAcentral